AUUGAACGCUGGCGGCGUGCUUAACACAUGCAAGUCGAGCGGUAACAGGCGUAGCAAUACGUGCUGACGAGCGGCGAACGGGUGCGUAAUACAUGGGAAUCUGCCUAGUAGUGGGGAAUAACCCGGCGAAAGCCGGGCUAAUGCCGCAUACGAUCCACGGAUGAAAGCGGGGGACCUUCGGCCUCGCGCUAUUGGAUGAGCCCACUGUCGGAUUAGCUAGUUGGNGAGGUAACGGCUCACCAAGGCGACGAUCCGUAGCUGGUCUGAGAGGACGGCCAGCCACACUGGGACUGAGACACGGCCCAGACUCCUACGGGAGGCAGCAGUGGGGGAAUAUUGGACAAUGGGGGCGAACCCUGAUCCAGCGACGCCGCGUGUGUGAAG
This 384-nucleotide ribosomal RNA is filed under the name uncultured bacterium. RNAcentral describes it as "bacterial SSU rRNA". It matches the Rfam family "Bacterial small subunit ribosomal RNA", at positions 29 to 410 of the family's 1533-position model. The record is from RNAcentral.